GGGGUUUUAGCUCAGUGGCAGAGCGCCGGACUUUUGUCCGGAGGUCGCGGGUUCGAUUCUCGCAGACUCCUCCA
This 74-nucleotide transfer RNA is filed under the name Hyphomicrobiales bacterium. Its description in RNAcentral is "Rhizobiales bacterium (bioreactor metagenome) tRNA-OTHER". It matches the Rfam family "tRNA". Rfam says of the family: Transfer RNA (tRNA) molecules are approximately 80 nucleotides in length. Their secondary structure includes four short double-helical elements and three loops (D, anti-codon, and T loops). Further hydrogen bonds mediate the characteristic L-shaped molecular structure. tRNAs have two regions of fundamental functional importance: the anti-codon, which is responsible for specific mRNA codon recognition, and the 3' end, to which the tRNAs corresponding amino acid is attached (by aminoacyl-tRNA synthetases). tRNAs cope with the degeneracy of the genetic code in two manners: having more than one tRNA (with a specific anti-codon) for a particular amino acid; and 'wobble' base-pairing, i.e. permitting non-standard base-pairing at the 3rd anti-codon position. The record is from RNAcentral. Lineage: Bacteria; Pseudomonadati; Pseudomonadota; Alphaproteobacteria; Hyphomicrobiales.